UGCUGGUCCUAAGGUAGUGAGUUCUCUCAAUUGAUUGUUCACAGUCGCUUGCAGAUCAAACUCCUUGUUCUAUUCUUUCCCCUGUCUCAUCACUGCACUUGACUAGUCUCUA
This is a Y RNA of Callithrix jacchus (white-tufted-ear marmoset), 112 nucleotides long. It matches the Rfam family "Y RNA". Rfam says of the family: Y RNAs are components of the Ro ribonucleoprotein particle (Ro RNP), in association with Ro60 and La proteins. The record is from Ensembl. Lineage: Eukaryota; Metazoa; Chordata; Mammalia; Primates; Cebidae.